AUACGAGACAACGAGGUUCAGUGUCAAAAGAAAGAGAAGAAGAAUUGAGAACUAAGUUCACAGCACAUGCUUAUCAAUGAAUGUAUUCUGAUAACUCUCUACAUGCUAGCAUGCAGAAUUGUAGCUAAGAAACAGCGUUAAUGAAGUACACGAGGGUCAGGUCCUGAGGCACUUUUUAAGAAAAGACCAUAACAAUAACACCUCAAAACUCAAAACCCUAAGAGGCAAGGAUACGGACACGGGAACCAAUAGCGGUGUCGCAAUUUGAAAAACAAACCUAAAAGGUACAUGUCACAAAUAAGAGUUGCAUAUUUUGUUAAACCCAAACUGGUGCCGACUUUAUUAUCAAGGCAUUGCAAAUGACACAAAGAUAUAACUGAGGCACGCUUUGCCUGUAAAACCAUGUACAGGAUGUUUACUUGUAUUGUGCAACCUAGUAAAUUCCAGUUUCCAAAACACAUGAUGUUGACGUAAAUAGUGAUCUUCCAAAAUUUGAACUUCUAUUCUGUAACGUUCAAGCAUCAAAGCAAGUAAAAUACAAGAAUACCACCCAUUGAACAUUGGAUAAUAUAGUAACCCAAAACAAGUAGAAGAACAAGAAGGUCUUCAUCACAUGGGAGACGUGCAUGAAAAACUGAUCAUGGUAUCUCCUUGCUCCUAGAUCACUAGGGACAACCAUGCGUAACACUAGACACAGAAACAAGGAAUACCAUAUUGGAAACUUGUUCACCAACAAAAUAACUGGCAAUUAGGAACCAUGAACAGAAAACCAAGUGUUGGCCCAGC
Molecule: long non-coding RNA, 786 nt
Organism: Rhododendron vialii
Lineage: Eukaryota; Viridiplantae; Streptophyta; Magnoliopsida; Ericales; Ericaceae
Exons: 2
Source: RefSeq, a predicted model, not a curated record